RNAcentral lists this long non-coding RNA (287 nucleotides) under Homo sapiens (human). RNAcentral's name for it is "non-protein coding lnc-SSX2B-3:1". Lineage: Eukaryota; Metazoa; Chordata; Mammalia; Primates; Hominidae. The record is from RNAcentral.
UUGAAUGUCCUCAGAUGACUUUCGGCAGACUCUAGAGAAUCUUCCCGAAGAUCAUGCCCAAGAAGCCAGCAGAGGAAGGAAAUGAUUAGAAGGGAGUGCCAGAAGCAUCUGCCCCACAAAACGAUCCGAAGCAGCUGUGCCCACCCAGGAAAAGCAAAUACCUCUAGAAGAUUCACAAGAGAUCUGGACCCAAAAGGGGGAAACAUGCCUGGACCCACAGACUGCGUGAGAGAAAGCAGCUGGUGAUUUAUGAAGAGAUCAGCGACCCUGAGGAAGAUGACGAGUAA